This 159-nucleotide long non-coding RNA is filed under the name Chinchilla lanigera (long-tailed chinchilla). RNAcentral describes it as "lncRNA (ENSCLAG00000023488.1)". The record is from RNAcentral. Lineage: Eukaryota; Metazoa; Chordata; Mammalia; Rodentia; Chinchillidae.
UGAACUAAUCUCUAAGGUUAGAAGAUGAGUGAUUGGCUUACUUUAUGGACGCGGUCUUCGGUGCACCCCUUCCAGAGGCAAGAGACAUUCUUGGGACAAGGAAGGAUCCCUUUGCCUUUGGUGAGUGCUGGAGAUGACGCUGCGGGGAUGCAGUGAUCC